CUGGUUGAUCCUGCCAGUAGUCAYAUGCUUGUCUCAAAGAUUAAGCCAUGCAUGUCUAAGUAUAAGCAAUUUAUACAGUGAAACUGCGAAUGGCCUCAUUAAAUCAGUUAUCGUUUAUUUGAUAGUACCUUACUACUUGGAUAACCGUGGUAAUUCUAGAGCUAAUACAUGCUUAAAAUCCCGACCGUUUGGAAGGGAUGUAUUUAUUAGAUAAAAAAUCAAUGUCUUCGGACUCUUUGAUGAUUCAUAAUAACUUUUCGAAUCGCAUGGCCUUGUGCUGGCRAUGGUUCAUUCAAAUUUCUGCCCUAUCAACUUUCGAUGGUAGGAUAGUGGCCUACCAUGGUUUCAACGGGUAACGGGGAAUAAGGGUUCGAUUCCGGAGAGGGAGCCUGAGAAACGGCUACCACAUCCAAGGAAGGCAGCAGGCGCGCAAAUUACCCAAUCCCGACACGGGGAGGUAGUGACAAUAAAUAACGAUACAGGGCCCUUUCGGGUCUUGUAAUUGGAAUGAGUACAAUGUAAAUACCUUAACGAGGAACAUUGGAGGGCAAGUCUGG
RNAcentral lists this ribosomal RNA (557 nucleotides) under uncultured eukaryote. Its description in RNAcentral is "SSU rRNA". It matches the Rfam family "Eukaryotic small subunit ribosomal RNA", at positions 4 to 566 of the family's 1831-position model. The record is from RNAcentral.